AUCCUGCCAGUAGUCAUAUGCUUGUUUCAAAGACUAAGCCAUGCAUGCCUAAGUCCAGCCGGGUAUAUCUCUUCGGGGAUGACUCAGCGAAACCGCGGACGGCUCAUUAAAUCAGUUGUGGUCUAAAUGGGCGACAGUUAUUUUUUGGAUAACUGUGGUAAUUCCAGAGCUAAUACAUGCGACUAAAGUCCCUAGCCUUCAUAGGCGACGGAUGCUUUUAUUAGACCGAGGUGAACGGCUGCUUCCUUUUCGGAGGUUUCAGUACGCGAUGCUAAAGGUGACUCUGGAUAACACUUGAUAAGCGCACGCAACACUUUAGUGAGCGGCGCUGCCACUUUCGAGUGACUGCCUUAUCAGCUAGUAACGUUUGUUAUGCGCAAACGCUGGCUCUGACGGGUAACGGGGAAUCAGGGCUCGAUUCCGGAGAGGCAGCCUGAGAAACGGCUACCACGUCUAAGGACGGCAGCAGGCACGCAAAUUACCCAAUCCCAGCACCUGGGGGAGGUAGUGACGAAACAUACCGAUGCGGGCGUCUCUUCGGAGCGCUCGCAAUCAGAAUGGCUAUUUCCUAAACACACUAAUGAGAACCUACUAAAGGGCAAGUCUGGUGCCAGCAGCCGCGGUAAUUCCAGCUUUAGUGGCGUACACUAAAUUUGUUGAGGUUAAAAGGCUCGCAGUUGAAUGUCUGUUAAAGAGCGCAGAUGGGUCUAGACGUUGGGUUCCACGAUGUGGUGCGUGUGUUCGCAUUUCGUAUUCGCGCGUGGUUUUCCCGUCUUAUCAGUACCCUCUCGCUCGAUGACAUACGAGCACAAGCUCGCGUUUGACUUGUCACUCGCAGGCUCGUGUUCAUGUCACCUUGAGUAAAUCAGAGUGCUUAAUGCAGUCGCAACGAAGGGCUUUCGAGUGAUCGAGGGCCCGAGGCUUGGGAGACGCUUGGUUAACGCCUUGUUUAUCCCUUUGACGGUCUUUGCUUUGCAUGGUACGUCGGAAGACGCCGCUUUACUCGUUGGUUAAUCGCGUGAGCUUUGGUUUUCGUAUCACGCCAGCGAGUGCGGAAUGAUCUGACAGGAACGGUCGAGGGCAUUGGUAUUGCGGGGCGAGAGGUGAAAUUCUAUGACCCCCGCAAGACCUCCUGAAGCGAAGGCGUCUGCCAAGGACGUUUUCAUUAAUCAUGAACGAAAGUUAGAGGAUCGAAGGCGAUCAGAUACCGCCCUAGUUUUAACCGUAAACGAUAUCAACCAUCAAUCCGCGUGAGACCCUUCGUUGCGCGUUGCUUGCUUAAUCGCGGUGCGCGUGACAGUAUGGGCUCGGCGGGCAGCUCCACCGAAGGAAACUUUUAAGUUAGAUUCCUGGGGGAGUCUGGUUGCAAAGCUGAAACUUAAAGGAAUUGACGGAAAGGCACCACCAGGCGUGGAGCUUGCGGCUCAAUUUGACUCAACACGGGCAAACUUACCAGGCCAGCACGGUCGUACGAUUGACAGAUUGAAAGCUCUUUCUCGAUUGAGUGGAUGGUGGUGCAUGGCCGUUCUUAGUUGGUGGAGUGAUCUGUCUGGUUAAUUCCGAUAACGAACGAGACUCUCCCCUGCUAACCGGCGUUUCUGACGCAGUAGACGGCGCGAUUCCACGGUAAGAAACCCCUGCUAAUGUAGGGUGCUUUCGGACGAGUCCGCUGAUCUCCUUGGCUCCGUUUUAGUGUGCGCUACUCGUGACGCUGUUGAUCUAUAUGGUCUUCGGUGAAUCGUUUGCGUUACGCGACAAACGCCCUCGGAGAGCGUAUCUUCUUAGAGGUAUUGACGACUCUUUCAAAGUCGUAAGAGACAGAGAGCAAUAACAGGUCUGUGAUGCCCUUAGAUGUUCUGGGCCGCACGCGAGCUACAAUGCCGGGUACAGCGGGUAUUUCAUCCUAUGCCGAGAGGUACGGGUAACCCUGUGAAAACCUAUAUUGAACUUUAUGAGUUCUUGUGGCUCGCUUGGGCCUGGGGCUUGCAAUUCUUUCCCACAAACGAGGAAUGCCUAGUAGUGGCGGAUCACUGAGCCCGCAGCGACUCAGUCCCUGCCCUUUGUACACACCGCCCGUCGCUACUACCGAUUGAGUGUACCAGUGAGGCACUUGGACUAGCGAACCGGGUCACUUUUGUGAUCGGGCGAACGAUGGAAAGAGGUCCGAACUGGUGCA
RNAcentral lists this ribosomal RNA (2176 nucleotides) under Paraphronima sp. RW-2010. RNAcentral's name for it is "partial 18S ribosomal RNA". It matches the Rfam family "Eukaryotic small subunit ribosomal RNA". The record is from RNAcentral. Lineage: Eukaryota; Metazoa; Arthropoda; Malacostraca; Amphipoda; Paraphronimidae.